Molecule: ribosomal RNA, 454 nt
Filed under: uncultured bacterium
Lineage: Bacteria
Description: partial 16S ribosomal RNA
Rfam family: Bacterial small subunit ribosomal RNA
Source: RNAcentral
CUACGGGUGGCACCAGUGAGGAAUAUUGCGCAAUGGGCGAAAGCCUGACGCAGCGACGCCGCGUGGGGGAUGAAGGUCUUCGGAUUGUAAACCCCUUUCGGGAGGGAAGAUGGGACGAGCAAUCGUCCGGACGGUACCUCCAGAAGCAGCCACGGCUAACUUCGUGCCAGCAGCCGCGGUAAUACGAAGGUGGCAAGCGUUGUUCGGAUUUACUGGGCGUAAAGGGAGCGUAGGCGGUUGGUAAGCCCUCCGGGAAAUCUUCGGGCUUAACCCGGAAAGGUCGGAGGGGACUGCCUGGCUAGAGGACGGGAGCGGAGCGCGGAAUUCCCGGUGUAGCGGUGAAAUGCGUAGAGAUCGGGAGGAAGGCCGGUGGCGAAGGCGGCGCUCUGGAACGUUCCUGACGCUGAGGCUCGAAAGCGUGGGGAGCAAACAGGAUUAGAUACCCCGCGUAGUC